RNAcentral lists this long non-coding RNA (1266 nucleotides) under Mus musculus (house mouse). RNAcentral describes it as "long non-coding RNA chr7:6136429-6137695". The record is from RNAcentral. Lineage: Eukaryota; Metazoa; Chordata; Mammalia; Rodentia; Muridae.
GAAUUCAGUCACAAUGCACACAUGGUAGAAGACCACCAACGCCUUCAAGCUCUGCUCUGGCUUCCAUGUGCAUGGUGGUAUGCUUGCCCCACACCCUCUCAUACACACACAGACAAAAUAGAACUGAAAACAUUUUAAAGCUUAGAGAUUCAGAGUGCCAGUGUACUGUGUGCAUCUCUGAACAGUAUUUGCAGUCAUGACAUGGAAUCUGAAUGUUGAAUACAGCAAGAAGUCUGGGAGCUCAGGCCACAAGGACCUGCAGGGGGCAGAGGAGCAUGCUAUGUUAAGUGACAACCUAGGGAAGCACUGCCUAAGAACUGGAGAAGGCUGGUAAGGAACAAGAACUUUGGUCAGGCACAGUUCUUCCUUAGGCUCUGACUUUCCCUAAGGUGUCUGGUUAUUCUGUUUAGUGUGCAGGUUUGUAAAUAGGCAGAUGUUAAGUGACUGGGGAGCUAAUUAAAGGGUGGGGUUCCUUUUCAGCUGAUGCUUGGAGGCUCUAUAGGCCAGAACCUGUGCUCCACAGGACAGCAGGUUCUAAAGAGCAAUGGGGUUUGAAAGUGAUGCUGUGGGCAUUUAGCAAGGGGACAGCAGGGUCAGCCUAGGAGGUCAGCUUCACUUGGUUGCACUGUCUCUGAAAAGAUAGGGCAGACAACUUUUUUUUUACCUCAGUACGGUCUUCAGAGAUGGCUCUGUGGUCAAGGGCACUUGGUGUCCUUGAAGAUGACUCAGGUUUGAUUCCCAGAACCCACAUGGUGGCUCAAAGUAGCUCCAGUUCCAGGGGCUCUAAUACCCUCUUCUGGCCACCCCAGGCACCAGGGAAACAUGUGGUAUACAUAAACACACACAGGCAAAACACUUAUACACAAAAUAAAAUUUCAGAACGUUAGAACCUGGGAUAUACGACUCUGCUAGCUAUGCAGUACAUCUGUGGGGCAGUGGACCAUGCCAGGAAACCUGGUAAGGUCGAGUAGGUUCAGAAACCCCAACACCUCAUACCUAAGGACAGGGAAUAUUUCACCUACUCCCAACCAGAUUUCCUGGCCUGGAACAGAUGACCACAACUCCCCACACAAAGAACAUGACCCCUGGUCACGUAACACAGAACAGAAUUCUCCAUGCUAAUGAGAUAUCUAGAUGGGUUCUAGGGGUUAAUCAAUAAGCUUCCCUUCCAGGACACUCCUUCCUGAAAAGACAUUUCAUCUCUGGUCCACCCUGAGGAGGUUGUAAACACCUGUUCUCCACGAUGAACAAUAAUAAACAGUUUAG